RNAcentral lists this ribosomal RNA (253 nucleotides) under uncultured bacterium. RNAcentral's name for it is "partial 16S ribosomal RNA". It matches the Rfam family "Bacterial small subunit ribosomal RNA", at positions 524 to 776 of the family's 1533-position model. The record is from RNAcentral.
AACGUAGGUGGCGAGCGUUAUCCGGAUUUACUGGGCGUAAAGGGUGUGCAGGCUGCCCCUCAAGUGGUGUAUGAAAGGGCUCGGCUCAACCGGGCUAGGUUAUGCCAGACUGAGGGGCUAGAGAGCGAGAGCGGGACGUGGAAUUCCGGGUGUAGUGGUGAAAUGCGUAGAUAUCUGGAGGAACACCGGUGGCGAAGGCGGCAUCCUGGACCGGUAUUGACGCUGAGGCGCGAAAGCCAGGGGAGCAAACGGG